Molecule: ribosomal RNA, 1235 nt
Filed under: metagenome
Description: bacterial LSU rRNA
Rfam family: Bacterial large subunit ribosomal RNA
Source: RNAcentral
UGAAUACGGGACGCUAAGGCGUCGAAGUAGUGUAUGUCAUACUUCCAAGAAAAGCUUGCACUGUCAUAGAUAAAAAACGCCUGUACCAUAACCGACACAGGUGGGUAGGUAGAGUAUACUAAGGGGCGCGAGAUAACUCUCUCUAAGGAACUCGGCAAAAUAACUCCGUAACUUCGGGAGAAGGAGUGCCUUAUUCGUAAGGUUGCAAUAACAAGAUCCAAGCAACUGUUUAUCAAAAACACAGGUCUCCGCUAAGUCGUAAGACGAUGUAUGGGGGCUGACGCCUGCCCAGUGCCAGAAGGUUAAAGAAGUUGGUUAGCAAUUGCGAAGCUGAUAACUGAAGCCCUGGUGAACGGCGGCCGUAACCAUAACGGUCCUAAGGUAGCGAAAUUCCUUGUCGGGUAAGUUCCGACCCGCACGAAAGGCGUAAUGAUUUGGAUACUGUCUCGGAGAGGGGCUCGGUGAAAUAGACUUGUCUGUGAAGAUGCGGACUACCUGCACCAGGACAGAAAGACCCUAUGAAGCUUUACUGUAACUUGAAAUUGAAAUUGGACUUUAUUUGCGCAGUAUAGGUGGGAGGCGUUGAUUAUAAUCUUGUGGGAUUAUUGGAGCCAUCAGUGAGAUACCACUCUUGUAAUGUUAGAUUUCUAACUUUGAAUCAUUAUCUGGUCAAGGGACAGUUUCAGGCGGGCAGUUUGACUGGGGCGGUCGCCUCCUAAACGGUAACGGAGGCGUACAAAGGUUUCCUCUGAACGGUUAGAAAUCGUAUCUAGAGUGUAAAGGCAUAAGGAAGCUUGACUGUGAGACCUACAAGUCGAGCAGGGACGAAAGUCGGUCUUAGUGAUCUGACGGUACUGAGUGGAAAGGCCGUCACUCAACGGAUAAAAGUUACUCUAAGGAUAACAGGCUGAUCUCCCCCAAGAGUUCACAUCGACGGGGAGGUUUGGCACCUCGAUGUCGGCUCAUCGCAUCCUGGGGCGGUAGUACGUCCCAAGGGUUGGGCUGUUCGCCCAUGAAAGCGGUACGCGAGCUGGGUUCAGAACGUCGUGAGACAGUUCGGUCCAUAUCCGGUGUAGGCGUUAGAAUAUUGAGAGGAGCCUUCUUUAGUACGAGAGGACCGAGAAGGACAUACCUCUGGUGUACCAGUUAUCGUGCCAACGGUAAACGCUGGGUAGCUAUGUAUGGAGUGGAUAACCGCUGAAAGCAUCUAAGUGGGAAGCCCACCUCAAGAUAAG